UACAGAGGGUGCGAGCGUUAAUCGGAAUUACUGGGCGUAAAGGGCGCGUAGGCGGCUUAUCAAGUCAGGCGUGAAAUUCCCGGGCUCAACCUGGGGGCUGCGCUUGAUACUGAUGAGCUUGAAUGCGGGAGAGGAUAGUGGAAUUCCCAGUGUAGAGGUGAAAUUCGUAGAUAUUGGGAAGAACACCGGUGGCGAAGGCGGCUAUCUGGCCCGUAAUUGACGCUGAGGCGCGAAAGCGUGGGGAGCAAACAGG
Molecule: ribosomal RNA, 253 nt
Filed under: uncultured bacterium
Lineage: Bacteria
Description: partial 16S ribosomal RNA
Rfam family: Bacterial small subunit ribosomal RNA
Source: RNAcentral